ACCUACAGCUAGACCAGACUGAUUGCACCUGAUCCUGUCCAAUCUUGGAAGCUAAGCAGUCCUGAGUCUGGCUAGUACUUGGAUGGGAGGCUGCCUAGGAAUCCUGUAUGCUGCCAGCU
RNAcentral lists this ribosomal RNA (119 nucleotides) under Crocodylus porosus (Australian saltwater crocodile). The record is from RNAcentral. Lineage: Eukaryota; Metazoa; Chordata; Crocodylia; Crocodylidae.